UGAGCAGACUAUGCGAUAGCGUGGACGUCUAUAGUUCAUGAGGAAAGUCCGGGCAUCACAGAGCAGGAUAGCUGCUAACGGCAGCCGAGGGCGACCUUAGGGCCAGUGCAACAGAAAAGAAACUGCCGCAUUCGUGCGGUGAGGGUGGAAUGGUGAGGUAAGAGCUCACCAGAGUACAGGAGACUGUACUGCUGUGUAAACCCUAUCCGAUGCAACGCCUAAUGGGAUCCUCCGCCACAACGCUGGCUCGGCGGGCGGUCAGGAUCUGGGCGGCUCCAGCCAUAGGGCGACCUAUGGCGUAGAUAAAUUAUCGCACACGACAGAACCCGGCUUAUCGGUCUGGUCACACG
This 350-nucleotide RNase P RNA is filed under the name Oscillospiraceae bacterium. RNAcentral describes it as "RNase P RNA component class A". It matches the Rfam family "Bacterial RNase P class A". From Rfam's summary of the family: Ribonuclease P (RNase P) is a ubiquitous endoribonuclease, found in archaea, bacteria and eukarya as well as chloroplasts and mitochondria. Its best characterised activity is the generation of mature 5'-ends of tRNAs by cleaving the 5'-leader elements of precursor-tRNAs. The record is from RNAcentral. Lineage: Bacteria; Bacillati; Bacillota; Clostridia; Eubacteriales; Oscillospiraceae.